GCCGCGAAUUCGCCCUUAGGGUUUGAUUAUGGCUCAGGACGAACGCUGGCGGCGUGCCUAAUACAUGCAAGUCGAACGCUUCUUUCCUCCCGAGUGCUUGCACUCAAUUGGAAAGAGGAGUGGCGGACGGGUGAGUAACACGUGGGUAACCUACCCAUCAGAGGGGGAUAACACUUGGAAACAGGUGCUAAUACCGCAUAACAGUUUAUGCCGCAUGGCAUAAGAGUGAAAGGCGCUUUCGGGUGUCGCUGAUGGAUGGACCCGCGGUGCAUUAGCUAGUUGGUGAGGUAACGGCUCACCAAGGCCACGAUGCAUAGCCGACCUGAGAGGGUGAUCGGCCACACUGGGACUGAGACACGGCCCAGACUCCUACGGGAGGCAGCAGUAGGGAAUCUUCGGCAAUGGACGAAAGUCUGACCGAGCAACGCCGCGUGAGUGAAGAAGGUUUUCGGAUCGUAAAACUCUGUUGUUAGAGAAGAACAAGGACGUUAGUAACUGAACGUCCCCUGACGGUAUCUAACCAGAAAGCCACGGCUAACUACGUGCCAGCAGCCGCGGUAAUACGUAGGUGGCAAGCGUUGUCCGGAUUUAUUGGGCGUAAAGCGAGCGCAGGCGGUUUCUUAAGUCUGAUGUGAAAGCCCCCGGCUCAACCGGGGAGGGUCAUUGGAAACUGGGAGACUUGAGUGC
RNAcentral lists this ribosomal RNA (687 nucleotides) under uncultured bacterium. RNAcentral's name for it is "partial 16S ribosomal RNA". It matches the Rfam family "Bacterial small subunit ribosomal RNA", at positions 1 to 649 of the family's 1533-position model. The record is from RNAcentral.